GGGGAGUACGGCCGCAAGGUUAAAACUCAAAUGAAUUGACGGGGGCCCGCACAAGCGGUGGAGCAUGUGGUUUAAUUCGAUGCAACGCGAAGAACCUUACCUGGUCUUGACAUCCACGGAAGUUUUCAGAGAUGAGAAUGUGCCUUCGGGAACUGUGAGACAGGUGCUGCAUGGCUGUCGUCAGCUCGUGUUGUGAAAUGUUGGGUUAAGUCCCGCAACGAGCGCAACCCUUAUCCUUUGUUGCCAGCGGUCCGGCCGGGAACUCAAAGGAGACUGCCAGUGAUAAACUGGAGGAAGGUGGGGAUGACGUCAAGUCAUCAUGGCCCUUACGACCAGGGCUACACACGUGCUACAAUGGCGCAUACAAAGAGAAGCGACCUCGCGAGAGCAAGCGGACCUCAUAAAGUGCGUCGUAGUCCGGAUUGGAGUCUGCAACUCGACUCCAUGAAGUCGGAAUCGCUAGUAAUCGUGGAUCAGAAUGCCACGGUGAAUACGUUCCCGGGCCUUGUACACACCGCCCGUCACACCAUGGGAGUGGGUUGCAAAAGAAGUAGGUAGCUUAACCUUCGGGAGGGCGCUUACCA
Molecule: ribosomal RNA, 584 nt
Filed under: Escherichia coli
Lineage: Bacteria; Pseudomonadati; Pseudomonadota; Gammaproteobacteria; Enterobacterales; Enterobacteriaceae
Description: bacterial SSU rRNA
Rfam family: Bacterial small subunit ribosomal RNA
Source: RNAcentral